This 449-nucleotide ribosomal RNA is filed under the name uncultured bacterium. RNAcentral describes it as "partial 16S ribosomal RNA". It matches the Rfam family "Bacterial small subunit ribosomal RNA", at positions 29 to 523 of the family's 1533-position model. The record is from RNAcentral.
AGCGAACGCUGGCGGCAGGCCUAACACAUGCAAGUCGAACGAAGUCUUCGGACUUAGUGGCGGACGGGUGAGUAACACGUGGGAACGUGCCUUUAGGUUCGGAAUAACUCAGGGAAACUUUUGCUAAUACCGAAUGUGCCCUUCGGGGGAAAGAUUUAUCGCCUUUAGAGCGGCCCGCGUCUGAUUAGCUAGUUGGUGAGGUAAAGGCGCACCAAGGCGACGAUCAGUAGCUGGUCUGAGAGGAUGAUCAGCCACAUUGGGACUGAGACACGGCCCAAACUCCUACGGGAGGCAGCAGUGGGGAAUCUUGCGCAGUGGGCGAAAGCCUGACGCAGCCAUGCCGCGUGAAUGAUGAAGGUCUUAGGAUUGUAAAAUUCUUUCACCGGGGACGAUAAUGACGGUACCCGGAGAAGAAGCCCCGGCUAACUUCGUGCCAGCAGCCGCCGUAA